Seriola dumerili (greater amberjack) is the source of this 2341-nucleotide long non-coding RNA. RefSeq lists it as uncharacterized. The record is from RefSeq and is a predicted model, not a curated record. Lineage: Eukaryota; Metazoa; Chordata; Actinopteri; Carangiformes; Carangidae. The transcript is spliced from 4 exons.
AGGCUGUCUGUUGCUGUUGCACAAUCAAAUUAGCCUCCGAGUUGCACCGAUAAGAAACUGGACCAGAUAACCACAGAAGCUUUUUGUGACCAUUCAGUUGUGCACGUUAGUUGGCCGGUACAUAAAUGAUUUGAAGCAUCUUCAGCACAGGUUCCACUCGAGGUUUUAACCAGGGAUCUAAAAGGGAAACAAUAGCAGCAACAAAACAAAAAAAAGCUGAGAUGGGGUUGGCAGUAUGCUUGCUGGCACUUGUCCUCACCUGGACAGGAAUGGCUGUAAAAGUUGUUCCACCAUGUGACCACCACAUGUUUGACAGUAAUGUUGACAACUGCCUGUCAGAGUUCAACAGCAGCAUGGAGACAAACAGCUAUCAGGACAGGUGCCCAUGGCCUACUGUAAAACGCAUCUACAACAAACUGAAGCUUUGUGUGGACAACUGGGCGAAUUUGUCUUGGUGUAGGGGUCAUAGGUUUCUGGUAGACAAGGUCUUCUUGGAUGUCCAUGAGACGUACUUUUCACUGUGUGGACAGGUCCACGACCCCCCACUCCAUACUCUUAUCAUGUUGAUAGCACCUGUUAUAAUUGUCACACUCUUAAUGACUCUUUUGUGUUCUUAUCUCACCAACUGGAACAUAGAGAUGCCGGGCACUUUGGGGCUCUGAUGUGCUGAGCUGACCAAGACAUGGUUCUGGGGGAUCAUGCUAAUUUUGCACUUGCUACCUCCAGAAGGCCUACAAAGAAAAUCCAAACAUUUGUUGACUAAAUCAUCGUGAUAAUCAUAAAUCUUUUCAGAUAAACCUUAAUUUUUACAUAAAACAUUUUCACGUCUUUGAGUCUGAAGAAAAGUAAUCAUCAAAAGUAGCCCCCAGGAUUAGCCACCCUGUUGGCUGACCAAAUUGCUUCAGAUUGCUUUUUGUCUGUGCUAGCUGGUUUGUUUGCAUGUGAAAGGCUGUAUAUUAUUCAAUUUAGUGUGUGGUUAUUGUUUGAGCAGUAGUAUCACAUUACAAAUACACACAAUGACUAGUUUGGUUAGCAAGUUACCCUAGAAAGUAGAUCCCCAUGAAUUUAGCAACAAUAGCUAAUCCAGGGGGCUAAUUUCUGUAUAUGCUUUCAGUCUCAUAAACAAGCAUUUGAAAUAUUUCAUUUAAAACUUUAAAGUUAUUUAAAAGUUUAUUUGUAAAGCUGUUUGACCCUUGAGCUGCGUGGCUGGCUGUUUUAAGCAAUCUCUACGGAGGUGGUGAGUGUGAACUUGGCGUGACCCACGGUCAGAACAGCCACAAUUAUGAAAAUAUGUUAAAAAAACCACUGCAAUUUUCCUUUAAAUAUAUGCAUCCACACAUAUACAGAAAGAGUCCAACAUAUAACACUCCACUUAUCAAAGUAUCGAUUUACGGGCAAUAUUUUCCAUCAUUCAAUAUGUUCAUAUCCUUUCCUUUUCAAAUGAAGACAUGAAUUGUUGAAUAUCAAAGGUGCACUAUGACUUUUACGGAAAGUGUCAAGCCAUUUAUUGUUGUAGUAGUGUUUUCUCCUCCAAUGUCAAAUGUGAAAUGUUCUGUAUCUCUCUAUAGAGUGCUGCAGGAAUGAAUCCUAAAAACCUGAAAUUAGUUAGCACCCGAAGCCUAUGAAUUAUUUAAUGGGUUUUUGGUUAGAUGACUGAAAUAAGGUCAAGACAUUUUCAUGUUUUAUUCUAUGACGUGAAAUACAGUAAAUCGGUAAAUCCCCCAGUCGUUGAAGUCAUGUGACCGUGGUGUGGUUAGUUAUAGCCUAAAAUUUGCUUUUUACUUCUGGCGAUUGUAUUUAUGCUCUAAAAAUCAUAAAUGUGGUAUUCAUUUGUUUUUAUCUUACUGAACAAAACAUGUAAGUAUCAUACACUUUUUUUGUCACAGAGCUGAUUUUCUGCUGUAAUUCAAAAGCCAAUGUAAAAAUGUCAUCAGUGUUUUGUCAAGGGAAGCAGGGAAAUGCUAACCUCCAGGUUGGGCUUCAAAAAUACGUCAUCCCUGCAGCAGCACUAUGGCUGGGUGUGUCAUGAGGUUUUGUAAAUCAUAUCAUUUAUUCUGUAGACAUAGAAAAUUAUACUUGUCUGUCUGACUACUUUUCUGUGAAUAUCUGAAUUUUCUGGAACUCAUGAUUUUGUUUUAUGUGGUUAACCUCACCCAUUUGGCACUUAUGGUAAGUAGGCAAAAACAAAACCUUAAUGAUUUAACACAUUCAUUUCACUUCAAAGUGUGAUAGGCUACCUAAAACAUUUGUAUAGGAUUGUAAUUUUUUAAGCUGACAAAAGAGAAGGAUUCUGUUUGUAUUUGAAACACAUAAUAAAUAUUUAUUUCAGACAAAAAAAUAA